GAUGAACGUUGGCGGCGUGCCUAAUACAUGCAAGUCGAGCGAACAGAUAAGGAGCUUGCUCCUUUGACGUUAGCGGCGGACGGGUGAGUAACACGUGGGUAACCUACCUAUAAGACUGGGAUAACUUCGGGAAACCGGAGCUAAUACCGGGUAAUAUUUCGAACCGCAUGGUUCGAUAGUGAAAGAUGGUUUUGCUAUCACUUAUAGAUGGACCCGCGCCGUAUUAGCUAGUUGGUAAGGUAACGGCUUACCAAGGCGACGAUACGUAGCCGACCUGAGAGGGUGAUCGGCCACACUGGAACUGAGACACGGUCCAGACUCCUACGGGAGGCAGCAGUAGGGAAUCUUCCGCAAUGGGCGAAAGCCUGACGGAGCAACGCCGCGUGAGUGAUGAAGGUCUUCGGAUCGUAAAACUCUGUUAUUAGGGAAGAACAUACGUGUAAGUAACUGUGCACGUCUUGACGGUACCUAAUCAGAAAGCCACGGCUAACUACGUGCCAGCAGCCGCGGUAAUACGUAGGUGGCAAGCGUUAUCCGGAAUUAUUGGGCGUAAAGCGCGCGUAGGCGGUUUUUUAAGUCUGAUGUGAAAGCCCACGGCUCAACCGUGGAGGGUCAUUGGAAACUGGAAAACUUGAGUGCAGAAGAGGAAAGUGGAAUUCCAUGUGUAGCGGUGAAAUGCGCAGAGAUAUGGAGGAACACCAGUGGCGAAGGCGACUUUCUGGUCCGUAACUGACGCUGAUGUGCGAAAGCGUGGGGAUCAAACAGGAUUAGAUACCCUGGUAGUCCACGCCGUAAACGAUGAGUGCUAAGUGUUAGGGGGUUUCCGCCCCUUAGUGCUGCAGCUAACGCAUUAAGCACUCCGCCUGGGGAGUACGACCGCAAGGUUGAGACUCAAAGGAAUUGACGGGGACCCGCACAAGCGGUGGAGCAUGUGGUUUAAUUCGAAGCAACGCGAAGAACCUUACCAAAUCUUGACAUCCUUUGACAACUCUAGAGAUAGAGCUUUCCCCUUCGGGGGACAAAGUGACAGGUGGUGCAUGGUUGUCGUCAGCUCGUGUCGUGAGAUGUUGGGUUAAGUCCCGCAACGAGCGCAACCCUUAAGCUUAGUUGCCAUCAUUAAGUUGGGCACUCUAAGUUGACUGCCGGUGACAAACCGGAGGAAGGUGGGGAUGACGUCAAAUCAUCAUGCCCCUUAUGAUUUGGGCUACACACGUGCUACAAUGGACAAUACAAAGGGCAGCGAAACCGCGAGGUCAAGCAAAUCCCAUAAAGUUGUUCUCAGUUCGGAUUGUAGUCUGCAACUCGACUACAUGAAGCUGGAAUCGCUAGUAAUCGUAGAUCAGCAUGCUACGGUGAAUACGUUCCCGGGUCU
RNAcentral lists this ribosomal RNA (1372 nucleotides) under uncultured bacterium. RNAcentral's name for it is "bacterial SSU rRNA". It matches the Rfam family "Bacterial small subunit ribosomal RNA", at positions 28 to 1381 of the family's 1533-position model. The record is from RNAcentral.